AACGCUAGCUACAGGCUUAACACAUGCAAGUCGAGGGGAAACGACAUCGAAAGCUUGCUUUUGAUGGGCGUCGACCGGCGCACGGGUGAGUAACGCGUAUCCAACCUGCCCAUCACUUGGGGAUAACCUUGCGAAAGUAAGACUAAUACCCAAUGACGUCCAUAGAAGACAUCUGAAAUGGAUUAAAGAUUUAUCGGUGAUGGAUGGGGAUGCGUCUGAUUAGCUUGUUGGCGGGGUAACGGCCCACCAAGGCGACGAUCAGUAGGGGUUCUGAGAGGAAGGUCCCCCACAUUGGAACUGAGACACGGUCCAAACUCCUACGGGAGGCAGCAGUGAGGAAUAUUGGUCAAUGGACGAGAGUCUGAACCAGCCAAGUAGCGUGCAGGAAGACGGCCCUAUGGGUUGUAAACUGCUUUUAUAAGGGAAUAAAGUGAGUCUCGUGAGACUUUUUGCAUGUACCUUAUGAAUAAGGACCGGCUAAUUCCGUGCCAGCAGCCGCGGUAAUACGGAAGGUCCGGGCGUUGUCCGGAUUUAUUGGGUUUAAAGGGAGCGUAGGCCGCAAGUCAAGCGUGUUGUGAAAUGCAGGGGCUCAACCUCUGGAUUGCAGCGCGAACUGGCAUGCUUGAGUACGCACGAGGUAGGCGGAAUUUGUGGUGUAGCGGUGAAAUGCUUAGAUAUCACGAAGAACUCCGAUUG
Molecule: ribosomal RNA, 696 nt
Filed under: uncultured bacterium
Lineage: Bacteria
Description: bacterial SSU rRNA
Rfam family: Bacterial small subunit ribosomal RNA
Source: RNAcentral